This 301-nucleotide ribosomal RNA is filed under the name uncultured bacterium. Its description in RNAcentral is "partial 16S ribosomal RNA". It matches the Rfam family "Bacterial small subunit ribosomal RNA", at positions 509 to 809 of the family's 1533-position model. The record is from RNAcentral.
CAGCCGCCACGGGAAUACGAAGGGUGCAAGCGUUACUCGGAAUUACUGGGCGUAAAGCGUGCGUAGGUGGUGGUUUAAGUCCGUUGUGAAAGCCCUGGGCUCAACCUGGGAAUUGCAGUGGAUACUGGGUCACUAGAGUGUGGUAGAGGAUAGUGGAAUUUCCGGUGUAGCAGUGAAAUGCGUAGAGAUCGGAAGGAACAUCUGUGGCGAAGGCGACUAUCUGGGCCGACACUGACACUGAGGCACGAAAGCGUGGGGAGCAAACAGGAUUAGAUACCCCAGUAGUCCCUGUCUCUUAUAA